Pyrus x bretschneideri (Chinese white pear) is the source of this 1154-nucleotide long non-coding RNA. RefSeq lists it as uncharacterized. NCBI's taxonomy places the organism in Eukaryota, Viridiplantae, Streptophyta, Magnoliopsida, Rosales, Rosaceae. The transcript is spliced from 3 exons. The record is from RefSeq and is a predicted model, not a curated record.
CCCAGCUUCUACGACUCAUCAGGCUCUUCGGCCGGCCAUGGUGAUUUCCUAAUCCAACACAUCUCUCUUUUUUCCCUUGUUUAUUCUUUUUAGAAAAUGCAAUUUCAAUAUUUUUCUUGAAACUUUUGUAUUUUUAACCAUUUGGUUUUAUCCUUUUCAAUGAUAUAAAUGUUGAGUUUGUAAUUAUGAAAAAAGAUAUAGAUUUCAAUCUUUUGUCUGGUGCUAUGUAUGCAUUUGUGAGUAUUUGAAGGAAUAUGGCUUGAAUGAAAGUGAAAUGGUGAAAUUUCUCUACUUGAUGCCUUUUAUUGAGUUUCAGUAGGGGCAAGAAGGCUAGAGUUAUAUAGGGGUGUUUGGUUCUUGCUGUAAUUUGUGUGGUCUGGACGAAAAGAAAUAAAGGGCUUUUGAAGGUAUGGUGGAGUAGGGGCUAAGGAGCUAUGGGAUAACUUGGCGAGGAGUCUAUGAUGUUGUAGGCCUACUAAUUUUUCAGAUUUUAGGAGGGUUUUGUUUCCCUCAUGCAUUUCUAUUUUCCUUUAGUGGUCCUCUUGACCACUUUUUCAUUGGUUGUUUUAUUGUCUUUGUUGCAAGAAAAUUAUUUUGUCUUUGUUGCAACCAGAAGAUGAUUAGAAUCCGGGAGAAAAGUAGUUUAUUAGCACAACAAUUCCAUGCAAUUACAAUUAUGAAUCUUUUUUAUUUUUAAUGCAUCAACUGAGGGAGCAUUUGCUGAUGACUUCAAUCAUUGAGGGCAACAUUAUUUUUAAAAGCUCCUAGUUGACUUCAAUCAUUGAGGCCAACCAUUUGGGGAAUUGCAGCAAAGUAUGCUUCUCUUCUUGGUGUCACGGCAAGGGAGUUGGUUCCCAUUACCGUAGAUACAUGGAAAGAAUUUGCUGAUGACUUUAAGCAUCAACUAUGGGAGCAUGUUCAGAUGCAAAAUGCUUAAGGAAGUGUAGAAACAAGGAGAGCAAAUUGGUUUUAAGCGUGCUACAAAGCAAAUCAAGCCUGAUAAUGUGAGUUUGGUACAAUGGCGAAGUUUUGUUAAGAAACACUUAGGUUCAAAAUAUAAGGAGGUAAGUGAGAGAUUCAAGAAAAUGAGGGCAAAGCAAACUAUGCUACACACAAUGAGUCGCAAAGGCUAUGCUCGCCUUGAAGAUGAGAUG